This is a non-coding RNA of Eucalyptus grandis, 116 nucleotides long. Lineage: Eukaryota; Viridiplantae; Streptophyta; Magnoliopsida; Myrtales; Myrtaceae. The record is from Rfam.
AAGCUUUGGAAGGCACAGAGCCAACUGUUCUUUCGCCUUUUACCAAAGAAUACCGUGUGCACGCCGCUGCUAAGCAGCACACGCCACUUUCGGAAGGCUCUUGCCUCUACUGGCCU